Molecule: RNA transcript, 1760 nt
Organism: Propithecus coquereli (Coquerel's sifaka)
Lineage: Eukaryota; Metazoa; Chordata; Mammalia; Primates; Indriidae
Exons: 2
Source: RefSeq, a predicted model, not a curated record
AUGCGGGCGUUCCUGCAACAGGCUCUGCACACCCAGUUACUCUCCAGACAUUCCUGCUCCACACUCUCAGACAAAUACCUCUCUAGUUCGGAUGCUGCUCACUUCUCCCUCGCUUCUGGAAGGGGACGCAGGCCUGGUGUUUCGCUGCCCAGGCAGCAGCAGAGGACCCGCGGCCAUCGGCACGGGGAGGUGGAACUGGCGCCCACCGUCUCCCCGCCGCUCACUCGGCCGCUGGCCGCCCUGCUGGGAGUGGGGGAUGGUGUCCAUCUAGGUCCCAGGACCCUCCUCUCCUUCCCUGGGUUCACUGACGUCAGCAGCGGAUGCUCAUUUGGAUGAAACUGCCCUUCCCUCCUGCUCUGGCCCAUCUUCCUGUUAAGGAGCUUCAGCUGCCUCCCUGGGAACCCCAAAAUGCAGAUUCCGGGGCAAACAGGCCACUGCAGAGAGACGCUCAGCAAACGAGUGUUUGAGUCGCACAGUGGGUCCUGAUGCAUAAUGCGUUUUGCCGUGGGUGGGCUGGGUGGGUUUGUGUAUGCCUAUCAAUGCAAUUUUUAAUUUUUGUUACUGUCAACAGCAAAAGCCUAGUGCAUUUGGAGGUGGGUGGCCUCCCUGGCAAUCUUGUUUCUGGAGUGCUUUGGGGUGUCCUCUGGCUCCAGAGCCUUUGCCACAGUUCCCCGCCUGCCCCAGCCCCCGCCUCACCCGUCUGUUUGCAGAGCCUUGCCCACAGCUCCCAGAACUGCCUUCUCACCUCGCCCUGUGCUUGGCUGUUGGUCAUUUGGCCAAGUCUGUGGUGGGCGGAAGUCCCCGUGCACAGGGUGGGUGUUCUUCCAAGCCCCUGGCCCAUCCUGCCGACGGGUCCCCAGCUACGCAGAGGGCCAUACCCGGUGACACCAGUGAAGGUGGCUCAGCAUCUUCCCGGCUUCUCCUGACCGUGAUCUCAGUGGAACAGAAUUCCACUGGGGGAACCUCCUCCCUCAUGGCUUCCCUUGCCAAAGCCGGGGUGUGUUCGAUCAGGUCUGACGCAGGCGGUUUGGAGACUUUCACGGAAAUUCCCUGAGGGUUUGCAGACGACUUCAGGGGAACGUGAGAUACAGACUCAGCCUUUCUCUGGGGCCAUCCCCAGCAGCAGGGGUGAGCAGGCAGGAGCUGAGAGCUGCCCUCAGGAGGCCGGCAGCAGGUGUCAGGAUGCAAGUCUCCCCCUGCUCCCCAUGCACUUGAGCUGGGGCCCUCCCCCCUGCCUGCACCCUGGGCUCCUGCAGGGGCUGCCGACCCCACCCCGACACUCUCGUGGAUGUUCUGGUUUGACUUGGAACUAGGUGCCAUCCCUCCAGGCUGGCGUGGAAGUCCAGGUGGGUGGCCAUCCAGGUGGGUGGAAGUGACAGUCCCCUCCUCUCUAGCCCCCUGCCCACCCGCAGGUGGAGGUGCUAACUAGCAGGGACAAGGCACAGGACGGGAGCUGGGUGCCAGGUGCUUGGGGUCCAUUCUUGUCCCUCAGCUCCUCAGAGUCCGGCCGGCCCCUGUGUGUCCCCGUCCCACCCCCCGUCCCCACCACAGUGAGGCAGCAGUCCAGGGUGGGUCCCGGCCUCCCUGCCCGCCUGCCCCGGGCAGCACGGGAGAGCAGGGAGCACAUGCUUGUUGGUUUCAGACGCACUUUUCUGCUUGCGAUGCCGUAUCUGUGCGUUUUCUUCAUCCUGGUCCUGGCUUUAUGGAACACCAUGUUUUUAGCAUGUUUUUAAAUAAAAACUGAGAUCAUGUCAAAAGCA